RNAcentral lists this long non-coding RNA (1085 nucleotides) under Amborella trichopoda. RNAcentral describes it as "long non-coding RNA (ATRI_LNC004417)". The record is from RNAcentral. Lineage: Eukaryota; Viridiplantae; Streptophyta; Magnoliopsida; Amborellales; Amborellaceae.
UUCAUUUCAUUUUGUGCAUCUAACUUUUUCUCUUUUUUUUUUACUAACACUGCCAUAAACCAUUUUGUAUGUUAUACAUUCCCCCAUAUGGGUGUCACUAAUUGUUUAAUCCCCACUUUUUCUUGCUUCAUUUGUGGUUUUUUCUUCAUUUCAUUUUGCUCCUCGACUCUCUUUUACUAGGCUCACUAAGGUAGAUUUUAGGAAGUGACCUCUACGCCCUGUUUGGAUAGUCCGAUAUAUUUAUGAAAGAAUGUCAAUGAUUUUGAAUUAAGGCCGUUCUAAUUUUCUUUAAAACAGGUAGAGAGCAUUUUUGGGCCUUUUCAUAAAGGGGGUGAAAAAUGUGAUUAUUUGUUAAUAAAUGGCAGCGCCAAACAUGGUUUAAUUAUCAUUAUUUAUUCAUUUGAGUUUUGAUAAGUAGGUCUUUUGCUUGAGGGAGUAAGUGUAAUAGUAGUUAAUUGUAUGCGUGCAAUAAAUAAUGUAAGGUACAUGGGAUGCAUGUAAGGAAAAUUUGUUGCUUUGCACAAAUAUGUAUAUGCAUGUGCACACGUGUAAAAGAGGCGUUCUGUCACAACAAUAGAUAAUAACGUGUAUAAUGUUCUCUCAUCAGAGAAUAUUAUAUACUUACUCCAUUUGAGUUUUGAUAAGUAGGUCUUUUGCUCGAGGGAGUAAGUGUAAUAGUAGUUAAUUGUAUGCGUGCAAUAAAUAAUGUAAGGUACAUUGGAUGCAUGUAAGGAAAAUUUGUUGCUUUGCACAAAUAUGUAUAUGCAUGUGCACACGUGUAAAAGAGGCGUUCUAUCACAACAAUAGAUAAUAACGUGUAUAAUGUUCUCUCAUCAGAGAACAUUAUAUACUUACUCCAUUUGGCAAAAUACUUAUAGGGGGGGAUUUUUUUCAAUUUGGAAAUUCGUGGCAAGUAUUUUCCAAACAAUUACUCAACAUUAAAUUUGACAGUUAAAGUUUGAACUUUCAUAUUAACCUUAGGACCUUUUCCAAGCACAUGUAAAAUUUAUGAAUUCUUUUCUUGAAGUUGUCAGGUUGAAGAGGCUACAUCCGCAAAAUUUAAAUACCUAAAAAUAUUUAUAAAU